GUAUUCUUUUACUCAUAUCUACUCAUUAAGGAGUGUCUUGUUUGAGUACUUAGUGUUUUGUACACUUGAAGAGAAUUGUUAUUCUCUUGUUGUAAUAAGGAGCUUGUGUUUCCUUGGUUGAAGUCUUGGAGUGUUGUAUCUCCGAGAAAAUGUGUUGAGGCUUGUGUCCUGAAGUUGUAAAGGUUUGUUAAGCACCCGUAAGCUUGACAAGUUAGU
Molecule: long non-coding RNA, 216 nt
Filed under: Nicotiana benthamiana
Lineage: Eukaryota; Viridiplantae; Streptophyta; Magnoliopsida; Solanales; Solanaceae
Description: long non-coding RNA (NBEN_LNC034033)
Source: RNAcentral